GACGAACGCUGGCGGCGUGCUUAACACAUGCAAGUCGAACGGUGAAGCGCCUUCCUUUUUGGUGGGUGUGGAUGAGUGGCGAACGGGUGAGUAACACGUGAGUAACCUGCCCCCUUCUUCUGGAUAACCGCAUGAAAGUGUGGCUAAUACGGGAUAUUCUGGGUCUGUCGCAUGAUGGGUCUGGGAAAGAUAUUGUUUCGGUGGGGGAUGGGCUCGCGGCCUAUCAGCUUGUUGGUGGGGCGAUGGCCUACCAAGGCGGUGACGGGUAGCCGGCCUGAGAGGGUGGACGGUCACACUGGGACUGAGACACGGCCCAGACUCCUACGGGAGGCAGCAGUGGGGAAUAUUGCACAAUGGGCGCAAGCCCGAUGCAGCGACGCCGCGUGAGGGAUGGAGGCCUUCGGGUUGUGAACCUCUUUCGCCAGUGAAGCAGGCCUGCCUCGUUUGUGGGUGGGUUGACGGUAGCUGGAUAAGAAGCGCCGGCUAACUACGUG
Molecule: ribosomal RNA, 494 nt
Filed under: uncultured bacterium
Lineage: Bacteria
Description: partial 16S ribosomal RNA
Rfam family: Bacterial small subunit ribosomal RNA
Source: RNAcentral